GGGGAAAGAAGGGGCAGCUGGGGUCAAGGGCAACAGUGGCGAGAUCAUGGUAAUGGUAAGGUGGGUAAUUUCGAAGAAAGAGGUGAAGGAAAGGCGCAACAUUGGAUUGGAAGGGGGUUUUAGAGGAGGUGGAGAAUGAAAGCAUUGUCUAAGGAGGAGGAGAGCUUAUGUUAAAUAUCGGUGAUUCUAAUAGUGUGGGUU
RNAcentral lists this long non-coding RNA (201 nucleotides) under Elaeis guineensis (African oil palm). RNAcentral's name for it is "long non-coding RNA (EGUI_LNC027309)". The record is from RNAcentral. Lineage: Eukaryota; Viridiplantae; Streptophyta; Magnoliopsida; Arecales; Arecaceae.